UGGGGAAUAUUGGACAAUGGGGGCAACCCUGAUCCAGCCAUGCCGCGUGUGUGAAGAAGGCCUUUUGGUUGUAAAGCACUUUAAGCAGAGAAGAAGACUCCAUGGUUAAUACCCAUGGACGAUGACAUUAGCUGCAGAAUAAGCACCGGCUAACUCUGUGCCAGCAGCCGCGGUAAUACAGAGGGGGCAAGCGUUAAUCGGAAUUACUGGGCGUAAAGCGAGCGUAGGUGGCUUGAUAAGUCAGAUGUGAAAGCCCCGGGCUUAACCUGGGAACGGCAUCUGAUACUGUUAGGCUAGAGUAGGUGAGAGGAAGGUAGAAUUCCAGGUGUAGCGGUGAAAUGCGUAGAGAUCUGGAGGAAUACCGAUGGCGAAGGCAGCCUUCUGGCAUCAUACUGACACUGAGGUUCGAAAGCGUGGGUAGCAAACA
RNAcentral lists this ribosomal RNA (427 nucleotides) under uncultured bacterium. RNAcentral describes it as "partial 16S ribosomal RNA". It matches the Rfam family "Bacterial small subunit ribosomal RNA", at positions 355 to 774 of the family's 1533-position model. The record is from RNAcentral.